Molecule: ribosomal RNA, 253 nt
Filed under: uncultured bacterium
Lineage: Bacteria
Description: partial 16S ribosomal RNA
Rfam family: Bacterial small subunit ribosomal RNA
Source: RNAcentral
UACGGGGGGAGCAAGCGUUGUUCGGAAUCACUGGGCGUAAAGGGAGUCUAGGCGGUUGUUUAAGUUUGGUGUGAAAUCUCCCGGCUCAACUGGGAGGGUGCGCCGAAUACUGAAUGACUAGAGUGCGGGAGAGGAAAGUGGAAUUCCUGGUGUAGCGGUGAAAUGCGUAGAUAUCAGGAGGAACACCGGUGGUGUAGACGGCUUUCUGGACCGUAACUGACGCUGAGACACGAAAGCGUGGGGAGCGAACAGG